Non-coding RNA from Phrynosoma platyrhinos (Desert horned lizard), 76 nucleotides. NCBI's taxonomy places the organism in Eukaryota, Metazoa, Chordata, Lepidosauria, Squamata, Phrynosomatidae. The record is from the annotation of a GenBank genome assembly.
GCAAGCAUGACAUAGUGGUUUGAGUGUUGGGCUAUAACUCCAGGGUUUGACCAAGGUUCAAAUCCCUGCUCAGGAA